GGGCCCUCGUGCGUGGUCGGUGGUUCAGCUGAGGGCCACAGUCAAUCUCACCCAGACCUGCUCAGCUCUCUUCAGCCCUCCAGCUUCUCCCUGACUCACUUCCUGGACCUUCCUUUGGCACAGUGCUUCGAGAAUUAUCUGCAAAGGCGUCUUUCUUCAGAUCAGCUGAAGUCCCUCUCCCCCUGACUACAGCAUCUCUAUUUGUUCAGAGAACAGAAAGUUAAUCAGAGGGAAAAUUUCCUUUGGUUCUUUGCUCCCAUCUGUCAUGAGGAUACACUUUCUGAUAAGCUGGAGCUAUCAUCAUUACAAAAUGAGUGGAAAAGCCCCCCAAUGACUUGAAGAUGUUCCUGCUGCUUCUUUGAUAGCAGCCGGGAUGACAAUCUGAGUCGUUUGAAUUUAAUGCUGUGAUCCUCCCAUGGCGUAUGUACA
Mustela erminea (ermine) is the source of this 429-nucleotide long non-coding RNA. RefSeq lists it as uncharacterized. The record is from RefSeq and is a predicted model, not a curated record. NCBI's taxonomy places the organism in Eukaryota, Metazoa, Chordata, Mammalia, Carnivora, Mustelidae. The transcript is spliced from 3 exons.